UUCGCGAUGGAUCUGAAGCUAACUACCUUGCCCCUGCUCUGACUAUUUCACACCCCCGUUUCUCCUCUCAGCCCCAACUUCUAGUCCAAUUCGUGUCGGUGUCGCGCGAUUUCGAUCGCCGGAUCCCUCCCCGGCGUUGGGGUCGUCGCGCCGGCCUCUUCACCGCCAGCCUCUGCUGGUGCUGGACUGGCGCGGCGCGUAGAUCCGUCCUCGGGAUCGGGUGGAUUUCUUCUUCUGUCGGUUCUUCUACUUCAGCACGAAAGAUCAGUCUAGCGAAGGUGCCGGUGCAGUUCAUUUCUCUAGAAAUUCCAGAUGUUCCACACCAAGUCCCUCCCUAGGUCUAAGGACACAUCCGUCGUCGUCGUCGUUUUGGAGACGACCGAGGUGUACAUUGUGAUUGGCUUGUCGACAAGGAGGGAUACACAGGUGAUUUAUGUCGACCCAACCACGGGAUCCCUGCGCUACGUGGGGAAGCACGGGGAGGACGUUUUCGAUUCUGAGGCUGCGGCAUUGAACUACAUCACUGAUGGAUCAAGGAUUUUAUCCAAGAGCACCACAUAUGCGAAAGCAGCGCUGGGCUAUGCGGUGUUAGGAAGCUACACUAUGCUUUUGGUUGCAACACAGUUGAGUGCAACGGUGCCGAAUCUGCCUGGAGGUGGGUGCAUAUAUACGGUGGCAGAGAGUCAAUGGAUAAAGAUUCCGCUGCAAAACCCUCAAGCCCGGGGCAAUGGAGAGCUGAAGAAUAUCCGCGAAUUGGCUGAUCUUGACAUCGAUGGGAAGUACUACUUUUGUGAGACAAGGGAUGUUACCAGGCCAUUUCCUAGCCGUAUGACUCUGAGGGAACCAGAUGAGGAAUUCGUUUGGAAUGGUUGGCUAUCAAAGCCUUUUAAGGACAUUGGGUUGCCAGGACACUGUGUCAUUCUUUUGCAGGGGUUUGCUGAGUGUCGGAACUUUGGAGGUACAGGGCAGCAAGGUGGGUCAGUUGCCCUUAUUGCGCGCCGUAGUCGGUUGCAUCCUGGAACGCGCUAUUUGGCUCGUGGACUAAAUGCAUGUUCAGGCACAGGCAAUGAGGUAGAGUGUGAGCAACUUGUUUGGGCUCCACUAAAGGGCGGUCAGCAUAUCCCUUUUAGCUCAUAUAUCUGGCGGCGUGGAACUAUACCAAUAUGGUGGGGUGCAGAUUUAAAAAAUGCUGUGUCAGUAGAAGCUGAAAUUUAUGUUGCUGAUGAUCCUUACAACGGGAGCUUACAAUAUUACCAACGGCUGAGUAGAAGAUACGGCAAUAAAUCAUCUGGAGUGAAUGCAGCUCGGCAAAAGAAAUCUGGAAUGGUUCCCAUUGUUUGUGUUAACUUACUAAGAUACGGCGAAGGAAAAACUGAGACAGUUCUAGUUGAUCAUUUCAAAGAAUCUCUACAGUAUAUGAAGUCUACUGGAAAGCUUGGAAACACAUGGAUUCAGUUGAUAAAUUAUGACUGGCAUGCCACUGUAAAGUUAAAAGGGCAGCAACAGACAGUUGAGGGCCUAUGGAGACAUCUUAAAGCACCUACGAUGGCUAUUGGCUUCAGUGAAGGGAAUUACUAUGAUGCAAAGCAGCAGCUUAAGGAAUGUAAAGGAUCUAUUAUCUGUAACGAUGACAUUAAUGGCGGGUUUUGCAUGGAAUCCAUUCAAAAUGGGGUGAUACGUUUCAAUUGUGCGGACUCUCUUGAUCGGACUAAUGCUGCUAGCUACUUUGGGGCACUUCAAGUUUUUGUUGAACAGUGCAGUCGAUUGAGUAUCUCCCUUGACAUAGAUGCCAUGUUUGGGUUAUCAACAAGCAGAUAUUCCGAAUAUAAUGGUCAAAGUGCUCGUUCCUUGCCCCCUGGAUGGGAGGAGCGCUUUGACUCUGUAACAGGGAAAUCAUUCUACAUCGAUCAUAAUACACGAACUACCACCUGGGAACAUCCAUGCCAGGAGGCCCCGCAGAAGCCCUGGAAGAGAUUUGAUAUGACAUUUGAUCAAUUCAAAGGCUCAACAAUGCUUGCUCCGGUGAACCACCUUGCUGAACUUUUUCUUCUGGCUGGUGAUAUCCAUGCCACGUUGUACACUGGCUCAAAAGCUAUGCACAGUGAGAUUCUGAACAUAUUCAAGGAGGAAACUGGAAAAUUUAGUAAGUUCUCAGCUGUUCAGAAUGUGAGGAUUACGGUGCAAAGAAGGUACCACAAUUUUCUGAAUGACAGUUCUCGUCAAAAACAGUUAGAGAUGUUCCUUGGAUUGAGGCUAUAUAAGCAUCUCCCAUCCAUCCCUAUGUUCCCUCUCAAAGUGCUAUCAAGGCCGUCUGGAUGCAUGUUGAAACCAGUUCCUAGUAUCAUUCCAAUGGCUGAUGGCGGUUCCAGUCUUCUCAGCUUCAAAAAGAAGGAUAUUAUUUGGGUUUGUCAGCAAGGUGCAGACUACGUUGAGCUUUUUAUAUACCUUGGGGAACCUUGUCAAGUUUGUCAGCUGCUUCUUACUGUAUCUCACGGUGCUGAAGAUUCAUCAUUUCCAGAAACUGUAGAUGUUAGACUUGGCUCAAGCAUAGAUGCCCUUAAGCUCGUGGUUGAGGGUGCUUGCAUUCCUCAGUGCUUGAAUGGGACAAAUCUAUUGAUCCCCCUCACUGGAAGAAUUGAUCCAGAAGACUUAGCCGUUACAGGGAAAAGCGCUAGGCCUGAUGUUCAAGAGAGCACUUACCUUCCUCUAUUAUAUGACUUUGAAGAGCUGGAAGGAGAACUGAACUUUUUAAAUCGGGUUGUUGCAUUAUCUUUUCAUCCAUCUGCCACGUCGAGAAAACCCAUUACUCUUGGUGAGAUUGAAGUACUUGGAGUUUCUCUUCCAUGGUCAGAUAUUUUAACCAAUAGCAGACGCAGUCCUGAAUUAAUGGAGCUUCUCCAUAAAAAAUUAUCCAGUGUUCACUGUGAUCUAGGUUCAAAGUCUUCUGCAAAUUCUUUCUUGCCUGGGAAUGAUGCUCAUAGUAGUGUAAGAUCUUCUUGUACUAAAAGUUUGCCAUCAGUUCAAUCAGGCGGUUCAGGAAAUUUUGUGGAUUUUCUCACUGGUGAUUUUGACAUAUCAAAGUCAAAUAUAACCGACAAUAUGUCUUUUGGUAAUGAGGAAGAGGAACAAACAACCUUCUUAGAUGAUGGAUUUGAUGUUAACCCUUUUGCCCCUGCAUUGGAAGUGCCUGUUGCUAAAGUGAAUAACCAGGUUGAAGAAAGUGGCUGCACACAUCUCUAUCUUAAAUUUUUUGAAUCACUUUCUGGAAAUAAUAAGGGAAAAGGUCUUAACUUUGAGCAAAUGAUGAAGCUUGAAAUAAAACGUCUCCAUCUUGAUCUUUCUGCCGCUGAAAGGGACCGGGCAUUGUUAUCAAUUGGUGUAAUUCCUGCCACUGUAGAUCCAAACCGUUCAAUUGAUUAUUCUUAUCUGUUGAAGUUGUCCAGCUUUGCUGAUAAUCUAGCACUGCUGGGCCAUGCUGUCCUUGAGGAUCGUCUUAAUGCUUCAAUAGGGCUCGAAAAGGUCAAUGACCAAACUAUAGACUUUUGGAAUGUCAGUGAAAAUGAUGAAUCCUGCUAUGGUGGGGCAUGUGAAGUCCGUGCUUUGUCUUCAUUACAAGCUUCAGCCACUAGUGAAAAUCAAUCAGUAUUUGUGGAAUGUUCCCAGUGUGAAAGGGCAGUUUGCAAAGCUUGCUGUGCUGGGAAAGGGGCCUUCCUUUUGCUUAACACUUACAGAGAUCUGAAGCUAUAUGGUGGGAGUCAAGGUGGUGGCUAUUCAGCACUCGCAGAUUGUUUUGUGUGCAAAUCAUGCUGCAGUGAAAUGAUCAAACAUGCCCUGUAUGUGGAUUAUGUCCGGGUUCUUCAUAGCUUGCGGAGAAAAGAUCGUACAGAGAAAGCAGCACUGAAUGCUGUGAAUCAGGUCUGCCGAUUUGAAUCCAGCAGAAUAUCUGAUUUAUCACAAAGUAUUCAAUCUGGUCAGAGGCAAUUGAAGCACAUCCUUGAUGGUGAAGAAUCCCUUGCAGAAUUUCCAUAUGCAAGCUUUUUACAUACGGUCCAAACUGACGAUGACUCUGAACCACCGCUUUCAUUACUGGCACCACUUGGUAAUGGGGACAACAAGUCUUACUGGAAAGCUCCACAGGACAACACAUCUAUGGAGUUCUCGAUUGUUCUUGGUGGUUUAUCAGAUGUUGCAGGAGUUGCCGUAAUUGUCAGUUCUUGCGGUUAUUCAACAUCUGACUGCCCAAUUGUGGAGAUAUGGGCUAGUAAUAAAAUACAGCGAGAAGAUCGUACAUUCAUAGGAAAAUGGGAUGUACAAGAUAUAAUAUCUUCAUCUCCACAGCUUUUUGGACCAGAAAAAUCAAGUAGCUUGAGUGAAGCACCAAGACACAUUAAAUUUCAGUUCUCAAAUCCUAUCCGUUGUCGUAUAAUUUCAAUAAAAAUGACACUUCCUCUUAUUGGUUCUCGUUCAACCAAGUUUACUGAAGAAUUUGAUCUUCUGUCAUUGGAUGAUAGCUCAUUUUAUGAAUCAAAGCCAACAAAUCCACAGAAUUCAUUUAUCCAUGCAAAAAGAAUUGUCGUUUUUGGCAACUCUUUGAGAAAGGACAUGAGUCCUGAUACAUCUAUGGGAAUAAUGAGAAUGAAAAGUUAUUUAGACAGAUCACCACCCUUGGGCAGAUUUAGGAUUCCAGUUGAAGCUGAGAGGCUCACAGAUAAUGAUCUGGUUCUUGAGCAAUAUCUCUUACCUAAUACACCUGCAAUAGCUGGAUUUCGCCUUGAUUUUUUCAGUGUUAUAAGACCUUGCGUGACUCAUUCACCUUCCUCAUCAGAAUUGGACAUGAGGGAGUUUUCAUUGGCACACAUGGAAGAUAGAUUUGUAAAUCCAGCAAUUCUUUACAUGCAAGUUACAGUUGUUAAGGAGUCUGGCAAGCUGGUUGUGGAGGAAUACCGUUUACCAGAAGUAAAGGCAAAUACACCACUAUAUUUUGAUUUUCCAGAUUUACAACAAGAUGCCCGUUGUGUUAUCUUUAGAUUGCUUGGGGAUGUCACUGCCUUUGUUGAUGACAUUUCUGAACUUGACGGCUUAAACUUGCGAAAUCUUCCUUUGGCAUCUGGACUGUCUUUGUCAAAUAAGAUCAAGUUGUACUACUACGCUGAUACAUAUGAGAUGGGAAAGAUUGGCAGUCUCUCAGCAGUAUAAUAUACCUGAGUCCAUACUGGCUUACCCAAACGAGGCCUUAUAAGGGUUUUAAAAGACCUCUGGUUUCUAACCAAACGGGGCUUCUCGAUUAUGCCUCACCAUAAAACUUCUGCUCUGUCCCUGGUGAAGCUUAUCUGAAUGAGAAGGUCAAGUAUGAAACUAUGAAUAGGUCGUACAUGCCAACAUGGUAUAUUCACGGUUGGCAGAUUGUUGUUGUAAACUACUUUAUCUUCGUGUUGACGCGGGAGUCACGGCUGCUGCACACAAUAGACUUUUUGGAAUGUUGUUUUGUUUCUGCUGUCAUCAUCCAAUGAUCCAUUUCGAGUGCUCAAGCGAUUUUUCCUGUAGGAUUUCUGGAAAUUCAUUUUUUAUGUAGAAUAUCUGGAAAUUCAAUACGAUUGGAGUUUCGGAACUGCCAGGUACAUUUAUCAAUACCUGUGUACGAGACCUGUAUAGGGCUAAGAACUCAGUUUGUAUGUUCUUUUUUCUUCAUGCAUAUUUUGAGCACUGAACUUUACCAAUUUAUUUGUACGAUACACAACAAUGCUGCGGUUGUCACGCUCCUGACUUGAGUCGGAAAGGUUAUGGGCAUUGUGUUGAAGCUACUCGCUCAUUAAUUUUC
Molecule: RNA transcript, 5818 nt
Organism: Phragmites australis (common reed)
Lineage: Eukaryota; Viridiplantae; Streptophyta; Magnoliopsida; Poales; Poaceae
Gene name: probable phosphoinositide phosphatase SAC9
Exons: 13
Source: RefSeq, a predicted model, not a curated record